GACGGGGGCCCGCACAAGCGGAGGAACAUGUGGUUUAAUUCGAUGAUACGCGAGGAACCUUACCCGGGCUCGAACGGCUGGUGAACAAUCCAGAGAUGGUGCGGUCCUUCGGGACGCCAGUCGAGGUGCUGCAUGGUUGUCGUCAGCUCGUGCCGUGAGGUGUCGGCUCAAGUGCCAUAACGAGCGCAACCCUUGCCGUCAGUUACCAUCAAGUAGUGUUGGGGACUCUGGCGGGACUGCCACCGCAAGGUGUGAGGAAGGGGGGGAUGACGUCAAAUCAGCACGGCCCUUACGUCCGGGGCGACACACGUGUUACAAUGGCGGCCACAGAGGGGCACUACCUGGUGACAGGAUGGGAAUCUCGAAAAGCCGUCUCAGUCCGGAUCGGAGUCUGCAACCCGACUCCGUGAAGCUGGAUUCGCUAGUAAUCGCGCAUCAGCCAUGGCGCGGUGAAUACGUUCCCGGGCCUUGUACACACCGCCCGUCAAGCCAUGAAAGUCUGGGGCGCCUGAAGUCCGUGACCGAGAGGAGCGGCCUAGGGCGAAACAGGUAAUUGGGGCUAAGUCGUAACAAGGUAG
Molecule: ribosomal RNA, 578 nt
Filed under: uncultured bacterium
Lineage: Bacteria
Description: bacterial SSU rRNA
Rfam family: Bacterial small subunit ribosomal RNA
Source: RNAcentral